Hemicordylus capensis (graceful crag lizard) is the source of this 1755-nucleotide long non-coding RNA. RefSeq lists it as uncharacterized. The record is from RefSeq and is a predicted model, not a curated record. NCBI's taxonomy places the organism in Eukaryota, Metazoa, Chordata, Lepidosauria, Squamata, Cordylidae. The transcript is spliced from 4 exons.
GGGCGGCAGCAGCAGGGGGCCGGGACUACAAGGGGGCGGCCAUUUUUUUAACUGGAGGAGCCAUCGGAGGAGCCGCCAACGGAGGAGCGAUUAUUAGAAUAAUUACAGCUGCAGUGUGUGGAAAGCGCAGGAGGGGUUUCCUGUAUAUGUAAAAAAGAAGGUGCAUUGCACAGGGGCCCCAAUGUCGGUACCUAGAUUUCAUUGGAGUACAACUUCUAUCAUCCACUCAGCACCACCACCUGCCUGGAAUGUUCCUCAGCAAUGUCACAGCCAGUGCUUACAAAAUCAGGGUUUGAAACUGGCUGGUCGUCCAGAACAAUCAUCUCUCCAAUGCUCCAGGUUAAGAGACGAGCCUCUGGCCGAUCAGACCGCUUGCCCACCAACUGCACCACUGGCAAUCUCCUCUGCUUGAGAGCAGGAGCACAUACCUUGCUGCCACUGGUCGAGGGCACACCAGGCCUAUUAGCACUAACAGCAGGAGUAAGGACCCCCAGUAGCACCUGAGUGUCCCUCCAGUAUCAUCUGACUUCCCAGGCCAAGAAUCAUACACUGCAAUGGAAUGGCCUAAAGUUCCUGUUUCUGACCAGCAAUGCUUGAUCCACAAGGUUCUGAUUCAAGCCCCAUGCCACUAAAUGUAGCAGUAGAUUGUGACUUGAGAUGUUUAGACUUAAUGUUUAAGGUUAAUAUUAGAUGUUUAGGUUAAUAUGAGCACUUGAAUUGUGUGUGUGUGUGUGUAUGUAUGUAUAUAUGUGUGUGUGUGUGUGUGUGUGUAUAUAUAUAUAUAUAUAUAUAUAUAUAUAUAUAUAUAUAUAUGUAUGUAUAUAUAUAAACAUGAUGUGUAUAAGUUACAAUGGAGCAAUAUGGUCCCAGCAAAUCCAACCAGAGGCAAAACCACGGCAACACGCACAUACUGAAUAUCAGUAUUUGGAAAGAAAAUGUUUAAAAAUAGAAUUCAUCCUUAUUAGUUACCAAAGAUUGUUCUAAAAAAAGCAAAAUGAUACUAGAUCUCCAUGCAUGAAAAGCAUAAUAUUCUCACCAUCAUCCCUAUGGUCAUAAGACCCCUUAGGAAGUUAAUAUAUCAAGACUUUCCCAAGUAGUCCUAUCCAGUUCAGUUCUGAGUAUAAUUGCUUUUAUAAAUGUUAGCAGCUGUAGUAUAUCAGUCUUUUAAUUUACCAGCUGAUCUAUCUAUUCAACUGUGCACUGUAUUUGACAUUGAAUUGAUACUGAUAUGAUUUAAAAGGUGAUAACUUUGAUUCAGUAACUAGGGCAUAUACAGUAAUUCAGAAAAGGGUGACUGAUUUGACAUAUAGUGGUUACACUUUAAAAGUUAAUCGUGUUUUGAACGCUUCUGCGUAUUUGGAGCAGGUCCUGAAAUUAAAAGAGGAGGCAGGGAAGGGGACGGAGAAGAUAAGGAAUGCCAGUCUAAUCAGAAAUACCAACAAAGCUGAGAUGAAGUUUUGUGUGUAUGUAAUGCAUGGAAUGUUUGAGUUGAUGAAUAUUCAGCUCCAAGUUGUGUAAGAGGUGAAGAGUAUAACAUUUAAUAUGGCAUCAUGUUUUAUGGGGACAGGAUCUGGUUUAUAAUGUGAAUUUUAAGUUAGUGGUACAAGGAUUGUGUAGUAAAAUUGCAUACAUAAUUCAUAUAUUGAAGUGUCGUUCCAAGCUGAAAAGUGACUGUAAAAAUGUCAUCGUAGGCCUCCAUGUUUGUGUUGCAGUAAUUUCUGACUUGAAAUUAUAUAUAUUUUUUCCUACUGACAA